AUGGUAGAGAGUGUUGUUCAAAUGAAUUUUAAGAAUUUUUUUUUGUACAGACAAACAAUAUACAGUAAUUAAAAAACACCAUAAAAAGACAUAACAUCCAUUUACUUAAAACUCCUUGAAAAAAAAGUUAAUUGAUUACCCAAUAAAAUAAAAUAAUUAGUAACCAAUACAAACAUAAUAAAAUAUUACAAAAAUUUGGUGUUAAAUAAUUGGGCCAAAUUGGACAAUUUGGUGUUAAACAAUUGGGCCAAAUUGUUGGGCCUUGGUGCACAGAUUUUAUGUAUGCCUCCACCCACUGUUCUCUGAAAUGGCAAACACCCAAUUGGAGGUGCACUGAACACUGCAAUCCUCCUUGCACCUAACUCAUUUAAUUCCUUUCAAACCAAACAUCAAACAAAUACUUUAAUGACCAAUUAUAUCUAAUUUAAAAACUAAUACGAUAUUAUGGUUAAACUAAUACGAUAUUACCGUCAAAAAGGUGGAAGCUGAAUUCAGAAGAAGAUCAGAGUAAGAAGGAAGAUCGUAGAGGAGAGAACGAGUACGAUAGGUGUUGGAAAUGUCACUGCUUCCUGCUUCCACAAGGAAAAGACUAUUGGCUAAGAUAAACUUUGCUCUCUCAUCUCCGACCAAACCUUUCAGUUUUACUAUGUACUCUUUGAACAGAUCCAGUUGCCCACUUAACGGUAUUGAUCCCUGAUUAAUUUUGUUAAUUAAUCCAUAUUUCUUGCAUUAUUAAAUAUGCAGAUAAUUAAGGUGAUAAGGUACCUCUAUUAUGGAGGUCAAAGGGUCGUAUCCUGAACCACCUGAAGCAAAACAGACCCCUGUUACCAAAUCACUAGCCUCUAGAUUUGGCUUUAAAUAUGCUGGCAGAAGCUCCUUGAUUCCCAAUUCUUCAACUGUUUAUCAUUUAUGUUAUGCAUCACACCAUAAAACUCACCACAAAUAGCACCACGCAUAUCAUCAUAUGUUAACAAUUUUUUUAAUAUUUUUUUUACAAUAAAACAUGUAUUAUUAUUUUAUUAAUUUGUAUGAAUUUAUUUUAAAAAAAUGUUUGAAACCACCAAUCAUGAAUCACCAAGUAUAAGAAAAAAGAAUUGUUAAAAAACCUUUUUUUCUUUAACAUAUGUUGAUUUUAAUAUGUUAAUAUAAUUAUAUACGGUGAAAGAAUGAUAUAAUUAUAUUUUUUUAAUAUAUAUAUAUAUAUAUAUAUAUAUAUAUAUAUAUAUAUAUAUAUAUAUAUAUAUAUAUAGUUCGUGUGAAAUACAGUGAGGGGAUUUAUAACCAGUGUAAAUAAAAUGUGCAGCGAAUAAAUAGUGUAAGGAGAAAGAUAAAAAUAAAAAUAAAAAUAAAAAAUAUAGGUAAACAAAAAACUUAAAACGCAUACUCCAUAUAGGUCUUCACAGGUCUAAAGUGUCGGUCAAUUUCUAAAUUUAAGCAACUUAAUUUUUUCUGUAUAGAUUUCUUUUAUAAAAAAAAAGAAAACUCUCAUAAAAUUUUAUUUUACUUUUAAAUAAUUUAUAUUAUUUUAAAGGAUGAACUUUAAUCAUGGCUCUAAUAUCAUGUUAGAAGCAGACUUUAAACCUAAUUCAACCCCAUAAAAUUAGCUUGUAGAAUGAAAUAUAUACACUUAAAUGACCUUGUCUCUAAUGGAUGUUUUAAAUGCUGCUUUUAUUUAUGUCUAUCAUUGUCGUGACAGUGGGGUGAUGAUACUUUCAUACUGUAAGUGAUAUCUUCACAUGCCCGGAUAAGUAGAAAAUGAGAGUGCAUGCUUCUUUUUAUGCAAUUUUUUUUUUUAUUACCAGAAGUGUGUGUGUGGAAAUUAUUAAUAUUAUUAAAAAUCACUUUUUGCCGAUAUUUUAUCAUAAUUUUUACAAACAUUUACCUGUUUUACAGCUGUGUUUAAAAACCUCUUUCUUAUCUUUUAUGGGAAUUCGCGUCCAUGUUAUAGAACUACAUUCAACUAUUAUAAUUCAAUAGUGUUAUUUUUACUAAUUAUCACUAAACUUAAUAACUGGAAAUUCAAUAUUUUAUUUUUUUUAUUUAUUGGUUAUCACUGAACUUAAUUGAAUUCAUUAAAAUAAAAUGUAUCAGAAAAGAUAAAAGAAAAAAAGAGAUAGUUACCUAUAAGGUCUGGUGGAACCUUUCCAUUGCUGAAUCUACCAGUCGGGACGCCACCUUCAAAGUCUCUCCCAUACGGAGGGAAAUUCGACCUAGCAAACGCUGUCGUUCUGUUGUUGUUGUUGCCUGUGUCCACCGUGGAAUCUCCAAACACAAACACUGCUGGAACAGACACAUUCGGUGGUAGUUUCAACAAAGCCUUUGUUUUUAAGGAUACAGAUAACAGCAACAACGCAAAAGGAAGAAUCUGAGAGGAAGAAGAAGAAGCUUUAGUGAGAUGAACCAUGGCUGCUUCACUUCACUUUUUGCCACGUGUUGGACAACAAAUAACAUCACUCUUAUUUAUAACCUACGUACUCUUUUCAUGGAAAUAAUUAUUUUUUUUACAAGCAAAAAGAAUUUUAUUAAAAUAGGAUGGACCAUUAUUAGCACAUUAUGCAUAUACUUUAGCUAAUCUUAUUUAAUUUUUCUUAUGUGUGAAACAAGUUUUAUAUUUAUUUUUUAGUAUAUCUGAGCAACAAAAUAAAAGUAUAUUAUUUAUGAACAUAAUAAAAAAAUGAAUAAAAUACAGAAUAGGAGUUGUUUUAAAAUUAAGAGUAUAAUAAAAUAAGUUUUUGUAAUUCUUAUAUAUAACAUAUCUUUUAAAGAUUUAUAUAUGCUAAGAAACAUUGUUUAGAUUUAUUAUUAUUAUUAUUAUUAUUAUUGAAAUUUGAAGUGAGGGUAGCAAUAUAUCUUUCAUGAAAAUUUUACACUUUUUAAUAUUUUGAUUAAUAUGAAAAACACUUAUUGUUGGUCUCAUGUUUUAAAGUGAAAUUAAAUAAUUGGUACAUGUCGGGUCCUUUUUAGCUUUCAGGUCAUUUAUUGCAUGAAUUUGUUGUAUAAGGAAAAAACAAGACAAAUCAAGGAAGCUAAUUUUGCCAUGAAUCAAAUUUUUAAAUAAUGAUUAAUUUAAAUAUUAAUUUAUAAAUUAAAAAUUAUUAGUAAACGAAUAAAAAAUUAUAAUUAGUUUUUAAAGUGAUGAUUAAAAUAGUUUCUUAUUAAUAUUAGUUGCCAAAAUUUUAACUAUUAAAAAAUUGAUCUUUAAUUAUAAAAUUCAUUUGUGAUCAUAUUUUUAAUCACAAACAUUAAUUAAAAAAUUGGAUAAAGGUCUGUUUGAGAGAGACAAAUGAAUAUAUUAGGCAUCUAAAAGUGUCGUAAUUAAAACUGUGACUUUUAACUGAUAUUGGUACAGAUUAUCUGUAAUUGAAAAUAAUGGCUAUCAGCUUCAGAAUCUAAAUGUGCACUUUGGUCGGGUUGGCAGCAAUCUCACUGUAAAACAAAAACAAUUUAGGUUGUUUCCUUGUCUGCUUUCAAUUUAAACACAGACAUUAACUUCAAGUUUAAAGUUUUACAAACACUAACUGGCAUGUGUUUAAAAAAGAAAAAAGAAAAAAAAAAAAAGAGAGCGAAGAGAUCAUAUUUAAGUGUAAAAAAAAAUAAAAAAUCAUCAAUUAGGUUUGUCUAGCUAUAAAUCUUAUCCCAUAUAUAUAAAUUCAAAGUUUAAGUUAUAGAAUAAAAAUACAAAGUUCAACAUUAUAUAGAAAAGAGACUUAUAAAUUUAUUAUCUUAAAAUUUUAGAUUAAAAACGGUGUAAUUAUCCAAUGUGAAUUUGAUUUUAUAUAUUUUAAGUGAAUCUCCUAAAUAUCUACAAAGGUAUAAGAAUCAAUAAUUACUCUAACUUCGAGUUGAGAUGAGUACUAUUAAACAAAAUUUUCUUUUUAAUAAAAGAUUUUUAUGUAUUCAUUAUUGAUGUAUUGUCUUUUCCCUGGAUCUCUUUAAAAGAUUCAAAGAAAUUCAUUCACGUUUUUUAACAAUAAAAUAUAUUUAUAUUAGUAUUUUAAGCUAUUAUAUAUAUAUAUAUAUAUAUAUAUAUAUNUUGUUUUAAAGAUUUAGAUUAUUUACGUAGUUGGACUUGAAUCAUAUUAUAUAAUCUCUUCCUAAUAAAUCUAUUUUUUUUAAAAAAAAAAAAAAACUCAUUAAAUCGAGACAUUACAAAAAAGAAAAUUGUUCGAUCACAGAUACAAAAUACAAGCUUCUUUCCAACAAAUAUAUUUGACUUUUUAAACUUGAUAUUAGUAUAUAAUAAUUAUUAAUUAGAAAUCCUUUUAUUCAUACUGUCAUUAAUUUAUAUUAUAUAUAUAUAUAUAUAUAUAUAUUAGUAUUUUAAGCUAUUAUAUAUAUAUAUAUAUAUAUAUAUAUAUAUAUAUAUAUAUAUAUAUAUAAUAGCUUAAAAUACUAAUAUAUAUAUAUAUAUAUAUAUAUAAUAUAAAUUAAUGACAGUAUGAAUAAAAGGAUUUCUAAUUAAUAAUUAUUAUAUACUAAUAUCAAGUUUAAAAAGUCAAAUAUAUUUGUUGGAAAGAAGCUUGUAUUUUGUAUCUGUGAUCGAACAAUUUUCUUUUUUGUAAUGUCUCGAUUUAAUGAGUUUUUUUUUUUUUUAAAAAAAAUAGAUUUAUUAGGAAGAGAUUAUAUAAUAUGAUUCAAGUCCAACUACGUAAAUAAUCUAAAUCUUUAAAACAAUAAGUUUAAUCAUAGGAUUUUUUUUUCUUAUAUGAUAUUCAUCUUCUUUAAAAGAUGGAUCAUUAAAUUUAAUGUAAUUAACAAAAUUGAUUAUACCUAAUAAUCACCUAUAUUAGAUAGGUCUCAUUAAAUUUAAUCUAAUUGAAAAAAUUGAUUAAAUUUAAAUUUUAUCUAAUUUAAAUUGGGUUUGAUCUAGAUUUAAGCCAAUUUAAAAGAGUUAUUAAAUUACGAGUCAAAGUAGGUUUUAGAUGCAUUUUACUGUAUUAAAGAAUAAUUUUAUGGUAUUGGACCACCUUUUCUAAAGUACUAGUUUGUCAUCUGUUAUACAUGUGAAUAUAAUUAAUUCGUAUUUUGUCGUUAAGAAAUAUGUCAAUAUUUCACAUUAAUUGAUGAAUCAACACAGAACAUGUUUUUGUUUAAUAUAUAACGUUAUCGUCUCAAAUCUUCCUAAUUUCAUCAUAGUACAAAAUCAAUAUUUCGUAUCAAAUUUUAGUAGCAUACAAAUUAAAUCCUCCAUAUAUAUAUAGAAGAACACAAAAUGGUUAAAAACCCAAAAGCUAAUAGAUCUAAAAAACACAUAAAUUCUAUUGAAAUGAACGAAAAAAAAAUCUACAAGUAAAAAAAAAUUAAGAAUGAACUAUAAUUGAAGUAUAUAGGAACCAUUUAUAUGAAAAAUUAGAAGUUAACCUUAUAAUUGAUUAAUUGAAAGUGGAGGUACCAGGAAUUGACUAGUCACGAGUAGUGUUUAUUCUAUACCUAAUUCAUAAUAAAAAAAAAUUGAUUUGUUAUUUAUUUGAUUACUUAAUAUAUAUUUGUUUAAAAAAUAUUUACGAAUUUAAAAAAAUUUAUAAAUAUUUAUAAAUACUCGCAUAUAUUUAAAAAUGUAAUUACAAAUUUUUAAAUUAAAAUUAAUAUAUAUAUAUAUAUAUUCUAAUUUUAAUCUUUUAAAUUAAAAUAAUUGUUUCACUAUUUUAUUUUUUAAAUCACUAUUUUUUAAACAUACGCAUAAUUCGUAUGUUUCCAUUAAUAUGAUGAUCGUUUACUUUUUCAUAUAAUUUAUUUCCUUGAACAAAAAUAAUCAUGAUUCAUCUUCUUCGUUUGGUUCUAAAUCAUUUUACCUUUUUAGGGACAAACUAUAAAGAAUAAAAUUCAAAAAAAUAAAAUAAAAUACCCAUAUUAAGAUUGUGAUUUUACUAUAACAAAGGAAUAAAAAACCCUACUAAAAUUUUAACCAUCCUAUCAUACUUUUUCUUUGCAUACUAUUACUUCAAAACAAGCUUUAAACUAGUAAAAAAUAUCAAUAUCUAUAGACAAACUGCAUAUAAGAAACACAAACAUACUUUCCUUAUUUUAUAAAGUUAAAACACUCAAAUCUUUUUUGUUGUGUCUACCUAAGUAUAGCAAACUCUCACCCAAUUCUAAUUUUGCUUCCAGGUUUAGAAAUACAAACAUAUUUAACUUAUUAAAAUUUUUGUUUUUAAAUUUUAAAUCAUAUUAUUGAACUUAAAUAUAAAUUUUAGGUAUAAUAAUUUGAUAUAUAAAUAAAUGUAAAUUAUUAUACAUGGAUGCUUUUUAAUAAAGUAAUAUUCCUUCUGGUCCUUAUUAGAAGACAUCAUUAAAUCAAUUGCCUGGUAAAAAGAAUAAGUUAGUUUUUUUAAUUUUUUAAAAUAUGACAGUGACUUACCUAUUUCAUCCUUAUAACAAACAUUUAAUCUUUACAUACGUGAAUUAAAAGAAAUUCAUAACAAUUUCAUGUUUUGUUAGCAAUCGCGAUAUGAAAGAUUAUAAAAUAUAAGAGACUCAAUACAAAAUGUUUAAGACAUCAAUUUGAUAUUUAUUUUCAAAGAAUAAAAAUGUCACAACCAUUAUGUAUAUAAAUGUUAUAAAAUGUUUACUCUUAAAGAGAAUGAGGAAAAUAAAAUUUUGUUAAUGAAAAAGAAAAGUAGAAAAUUUUUUAUAGCGAUUGGAAAUGUAAAAUAUAAUAUGUAGAAAACUCAUGUAAUAAUCACAUGAGUGGAAAUAAGUUUUAUUUUUCAUAUUUAAACGAAAAAUUUCAUUCUACAAUUAGUUUUGGUGGGAAAGGUAAUAUUAAUAUAUAAAAUUAAAAACAAGAAUGACAUGUAAAAAUAAUUUAUAAUGUUCUUUGUGUCACUUUAUAGAAAUAAGUUAUGAAACUUUUAUUAGCAAAUAUGUCUAUGAAUUAAUAUUUAAUUUUUUUACAUUAUAAUUAUUUUAUUUUUAUAGUGUAUGUCAAAUUAAUGUAAAAAUAUAUCAUAAUACUAUUAUUAAAUUGAAAAAUGAGUUUAAAAAGACUAUUUUGGUUGCUAAUUGAAAGUCAAAGUUAACGAUUUUGCUUAAUCAUAAUAUAUUAUUGUAAUAGUUUCAAAUUCGAGUGUAUUGAAGAUGUUGAACAAAAAGAAUAUGAUAUCAUGUUUACAUCUUCACAUGGUGGAGCAACUUCAAUGCCUCAGGCCAAUGGAUAAUGAUGCAUGAUCAUAGUUAAGUGUAAUUAAAUUUGGUAUUAUUAAUUUCAUAAAAAAAAAUGAUAUCAUUUAAGAAUUCCAUAGUGCUAGUAUCCUAAUUUGCCAGUACUAAAAGUCACUAUAUUAAACUUGAUAAAUAUUUUUAUAUCUUAAACUAAUACAACCUUUGAUUUUAAAAGUGAUUAUAUUACGGACAUAAUAAAUCAAGUAAACGAGGGUGUUAUUUAUUUUUCAGUGAGUACUAAUAAUUAUAUAAUCUAAAUCCAGAGAAAUUUUCUGACAUGAAAUUCAUAAACAGCAACAGAAACAGUUAUCCGAGGUAAAAGCUCACUUGAAUUGGUACAAAUAUUUUUGAAGAAUAGGAGCUAUGAGCCUUUUGUAAGCGCUUUCUGUGGGAUGAAAACUGUCCCAAAACACAUAAUCUUCAACAUUCGGACACGUAGAAUCCAAACUAUUGCAUAGUAUUGCAACCUCUAUUCUCCCUGUUCCACAGCAUCCAGUGUCUCCCACUUUAUAUCCUGUACAUCAUAAAUAAAUCUUUUAUAUUUAUUUAAUAUUAUUCUUUCUUAUUUACUUUAAUACUUUUUAUACCUUAUUUUUUUACAAAGGGAAGGUUUUAAGAUAAUUAGUUUAAGAUUAGUUACCAUAUUUUUUGUAAUUGAGGAUGAUGUCGAGGAGAGGAUCAUAAACAUUGACGAAAACAUUUCUGCUACUGGGAAAGUUACGAUUGAGAGAACGCAGCAAAUUGGACAAUUUGGUGUUGAAUAAUUGGGCCAAAUUGUUGGGCCUUGGUGCACAGUUUUUCUGUAUGCCUCCACCCACUGUUCUCUGAAAUGGCAAACACCCAAUUGGAGGUGCACUGAACACUGCAAUCCUCCUUGCACCUAACUCAUUUAAUUCCUUUCAAACCAAACAUCAAACAAAUACUUUAAUGACCAAUUAUAUCUAAUUUAAAAACUAAUACGAUAUUAUGGUUAAACUAAUACGAUAUUACCGUCAAAAAGGUGGAAGCUGAAUUCAGAAGAAGAUCAGAGUAAGAAGGAAGAUCGUAGAGGAGAGAACGAGUACGAUAGGUGUUGGAAAUGUCACUGCUUCCUGCUUCCACAAGGAAAAGACUAUUGGCUAAGAUAAACUUUGCUCUCUCAUCUCCGACCAAACCUUUCAGUUUUACUAUGUACUCUUUGAACAGAUCCAGUUGCCCACUUAACGACAUUGAUCCCU
This 8378-nucleotide long non-coding RNA is filed under the name Vigna radiata. Its description in RNAcentral is "long non-coding RNA (VRAD_LNC005773)". The record is from RNAcentral. Lineage: Eukaryota; Viridiplantae; Streptophyta; Magnoliopsida; Fabales; Fabaceae.